Molecule: non-coding RNA, 30 nt
Filed under: Rattus norvegicus (Norway rat)
Lineage: Eukaryota; Metazoa; Chordata; Mammalia; Rodentia; Muridae
Source: RNAcentral
UGCUAGGCUAUCAUAGAUCCUUGAAAAUGA